GACGAACGCUGGCGGCGUGCUUAACACAUGCAAGUCGAACGGAAAGGCCCUGCUUUUGUGGGGUGCUCGAGUGGCGAACGGGUGAGUAACACGUGAGUAACCUGCCCUUGACUUUGGGAUAACUUCAGGAAACUGGGGCUAAUACCGGAUAGGAGCUCCUGCUGCAUGGUGGGGGUUGGAAAGUUUCGGCGGUUGGGGAUGGACUCGCGGCUUAUCAGCUUGUUGGUGGGGUAGUGGCUUACCAAGGCUUUGACGGGUAGCCGGCCUGAGAGGGUGACCGGCCACAUUGGGACUGGGAUACGGCCCAGACUCCUACGGGAGGCAGCAGUGGGGAAUAUUGCACAAUGGGCGGAAGCCUGAUGCAGCAACGCCGCGUGCGGGAUGACGGCCUUCGGGUUGUAAACCGCUUUCGCCUGUGACGAAGCGUGAGUGACGGUAAUGGGUAGAAGCACCGGCUAACUACGUG
Molecule: ribosomal RNA, 466 nt
Filed under: uncultured bacterium
Lineage: Bacteria
Description: partial 16S ribosomal RNA
Rfam family: Bacterial small subunit ribosomal RNA
Source: RNAcentral